GACGAACGCUGGCGGCGUGCUUAACACAUGCAAGUCGAACGGAAAGGCCCUGCUUUUGUGGGGUGCUCGAGUGGCGAACGGGUGAGUAACACGUGAGUAACCUGCCCUUGACUUUGGGAUAACUUCAGGAAACUGGGGCUAAUACCGGAUAGGAGCUCCUGCUGCAUGGUGGGGGUUGGAAAGUUUCGGCGGUUGGGGAUGGACUCGCGGCUUAUCAGCUUGUUGGUGGGGUAGUGACUUACCAAGGCUUUGACGGGUAGCCGGCCUGAGAGGGUGGACGGCCACAUUGGGACUGAGAUACGGCCCAGACUCCUACGGGAGGCAGCAGUGGGGAAUAUUGCACAAUGGGCGGAAGCCUGAUGCAGCAACGCCGCGUGCGGGAUGACGGCCUUCGGGUUGUAAACCGCUUUCGCCUGUGACGAAGCGUGAGUGACGGUAAUGGGUAAAGAAGCACCGGCUAACUACGUG
This 468-nucleotide ribosomal RNA is filed under the name uncultured bacterium. RNAcentral's name for it is "partial 16S ribosomal RNA". It matches the Rfam family "Bacterial small subunit ribosomal RNA", at positions 28 to 507 of the family's 1533-position model. The record is from RNAcentral.